GGUCUAUUAGUUCAGUUGGUUAAAGUAUUGUGCUAAUAAUGCAAAAGUCACAGGUUUGAUAUCUGCAUGGACUA
Molecule: non-coding RNA, 74 nt
Organism: Glycine soja
Lineage: Eukaryota; Viridiplantae; Streptophyta; Magnoliopsida; Fabales; Fabaceae
Source: Rfam